Molecule: small nucleolar RNA, 93 nt
Filed under: Olea europaea subsp. europaea
Lineage: Eukaryota; Viridiplantae; Streptophyta; Magnoliopsida; Lamiales; Oleaceae
Description: Small nucleolar RNA U31b
Rfam family: Small nucleolar RNA U31b
Source: Rfam by way of RNAcentral
GAAAAUGAUGAUAAUUUUUUGUCGCCCCAGUCUUAAUCUACAUCUACAUCUACAUCGUAGAUGCAAUGUGGUGAUUGACAUUUUGUUUGAUUC